CUCGUAGGCGGUCUGUCGCGUCGGAUGUGAAAACUCGGAGCUCAACUCCGGGCCUGCAUUCGAUACGGGCAGACUAGAGUUCGGUAGGGGAGAUUGGAAUUCCUGGUGUAGCGGUGGAAUGCGCAGAUAUCAGGAGGAACACCGAUGGCGAAGGCAGAUCUCUGGGCCGAUACUGACGCUGAGGAGCGAAAGCAUGGGGAGCAAACA
This 207-nucleotide ribosomal RNA is filed under the name uncultured bacterium. RNAcentral describes it as "partial 16S ribosomal RNA". It matches the Rfam family "Bacterial small subunit ribosomal RNA", at positions 568 to 774 of the family's 1533-position model. The record is from RNAcentral.